RNAcentral lists this transfer RNA (56 nucleotides) under Escherichia coli. RNAcentral describes it as "tRNA-Pro". It matches the Rfam family "tRNA", at positions 8 to 60 of the family's 71-position model. From Rfam's summary of the family: Transfer RNA (tRNA) molecules are approximately 80 nucleotides in length. RNAcentral also lists the same sequence under 2 other names. The record is from RNAcentral. Lineage: Bacteria; Pseudomonadati; Pseudomonadota; Gammaproteobacteria; Enterobacterales; Enterobacteriaceae.
UAGCGCAGCUUGGUAGCGCAACUGGUUUGGGACCAGUGGGUCGGAGGUUCGAAUCC